CCUACGGGUGGCAGCAGUGGGGAAUAUUGCACAAUGGGGGAAACCCUGAUGCAGCGACGCCGCGUGAAGGAAGCAGUAUUUCGGUAUGUAAACUUCUAUCAGCAGGGAAGAAAAUGACGGUACCUGACUAAGAAGCCCCGGCUAACUACGUGCCAGCAGCCGCGGUCAUACGUAGGGGGCAAGCGGUAUCCGGAUUUACUGGGUGUAAAGGGAGCGUAGGCGGCGAUGCGAGUCAGAAGUGAAAGCCCGGGGCUCAACUCCGGGACUGCUUGUGAAACUGGAUGGCUAGAGUGCAGGAGAGGCAAGUGGAAUUCCUAGUGUAGCGGUGAAAUGCGUAGAUAUUAGGAGGAACACCAGUGGCGAAGGCGGCUUGCUGGACUGUAAAUGACGCUGAGGCUCGAAAGCGUGGGGAGCAAACAGGAUUAGAUACCCUUGUAGUC
This 440-nucleotide ribosomal RNA is filed under the name uncultured bacterium. RNAcentral's name for it is "partial 16S ribosomal RNA". It matches the Rfam family "Bacterial small subunit ribosomal RNA", at positions 338 to 795 of the family's 1533-position model. The record is from RNAcentral.